UACGAAGGGGGCUAGCGUUGCUCGGAAUUACUGGGCGUAAAGCGCACGUAGGCGGCUUCUUAAGUCGGUGGUGAAAUCCUGGAGCUCAACUCCAGAACUGCCUUCGAUACUGGGAAGCUCGAGUCCGGGAGAGGUGAGUGGAACUGCGAGUGUAGAGGUGAAAUUCGCAGAUAUCAGGAGGAACACCGGUGGCGAAGGCGGGUCUCUGGGCAGUAACUGACGCUGAGGAGCGAAAGCGUGGGGAGCGAACAGG
Molecule: ribosomal RNA, 253 nt
Filed under: uncultured bacterium
Lineage: Bacteria
Description: partial 16S ribosomal RNA
Rfam family: Bacterial small subunit ribosomal RNA
Source: RNAcentral